UUGAAAGGGAAACGAUUGAAGUCAGUCAUGCUAGUGAAAAAUCAGUUUGACGGGUUUUGAGUUCUUGAGUAGAGGCAGGGUCAAACCGUUUCUCUUUUGAACUUGGGAUUUGUUAGAUGUACUUUUUCUUUAGCAGGUCAACGUCGGUUUCGGGGGUGUAAAAUACUUGGGGGAGAGUAGCUCUGCUUCGGGAGAGUGUUAUAGACCCUGGGGGAUGCAGCCUGUGGGAUCGAGGAUUGCAGCAAAUGCCUUCUGGCUUGUCGCCUAUUCCUGGGUGUCACCUGUCUUGUGGCAACAUUCUUGCCACCGGAGAGUACUAAUGCCUACUGUUUAGAGCGAUCGAAAAUUUCGUUAAGGAUGUUGACGUA
This 368-nucleotide ribosomal RNA is filed under the name uncultured Glomeromycotina. RNAcentral describes it as "LSU rRNA". Lineage: Eukaryota; Fungi; Glomeromycota. The record is from RNAcentral.